UGAGGAAUAUUGCGCAAUGGGGGCAACCCUGACGCAGCGACGCCGCGUGAGUGAGGAAGGCCUUCGGGUCGUAAAGCUCUGUCAGCAGGGAAGAAGUGCAUGAUGGCUAAUAUCCAUUGUGUUUGACGGUACCUGCAAAGGAAGCACCGGCUAACUCCGUGCCAGCAGCCGCGGUAAUACGGAGGGUGCGAGCGUUGUUCGGAAUCACUGGGCGUAAAGGGCGCGCAGGCGGUCUUAUAAGUCAGAUGUGAAAGCCCACGGCUUAACCGUGGAAGAGCAUUUGAAACUGCAAGACUUGAGUACCAGAGGGGAAAGUGGAAUUCCCGGUGUAGAGGUGAAAUUCGUAGAUAUCGGGAGGAAUACCGGUGGCGAAGGCGACUUUCUGGCUGGAUACUGACGCUGAGGCGCGAAAGCGUGGGGAGCAAACAGG
This 430-nucleotide ribosomal RNA is filed under the name uncultured Desulfobulbaceae bacterium. Its description in RNAcentral is "bacterial SSU rRNA". It matches the Rfam family "Bacterial small subunit ribosomal RNA", at positions 355 to 776 of the family's 1533-position model. Lineage: Bacteria; Pseudomonadati; Thermodesulfobacteriota; Desulfobulbia; Desulfobulbales; Desulfobulbaceae. The record is from RNAcentral.